GGGCUUGUAAUGGUUUCGACAGGGACUAUGAAGCUGGAGAAGCGAGCCGCAGGGGAUGCGUUAAAUUCCAAACUUAAAAUUAAACGCUGAAGAUAAUUUAGCAUACGCAGCCUAGUUGCUGCAGUCUGACCUAGAGCACCUACACUUUAGGACCCAGGCUUCGACGAUGUAGGAAACGACACUGUCAAAGCUUUGAGGCAGUGGGCGUAGGAUGAAGCUACUGAAACCGGGAUUGUGCCUGUGCAAGCCCGGCAGAGGGAACAUGCUGUCUUUGGGAUAGCAGAAAACCAUAGGCUACGCUCGUAGAAGGACAGGGGAUUGGUUUUUGGACACGGGUUCGACUCCCGUCAGGUCCACUU
Molecule: transfer-messenger RNA, 359 nt
Filed under: Lachnospiraceae
Lineage: Bacteria; Bacillati; Bacillota; Clostridia; Lachnospirales
Also listed under: 1 other name
Description: Roseburia sp017626625 Standard tmRNA
Rfam family: transfer-messenger RNA
About the family: Bacterial tmRNA, also known as 10Sa RNA or SsrA, is named for its dual tRNA and mRNA-like properties. Its role is to liberate the mRNA from a stalled ribosome.
Source: RNAcentral